RNAcentral lists this ribosomal RNA (253 nucleotides) under uncultured bacterium. RNAcentral describes it as "partial 16S ribosomal RNA". It matches the Rfam family "Bacterial small subunit ribosomal RNA", at positions 524 to 776 of the family's 1533-position model. The record is from RNAcentral.
UACGGGGGGGGCAAGCGUUGUUCGGAAUUACUGGGCGUAAAGGGCCAGUAGGCGGCCAACUAAGUCCGACGUGAAAUCCCAAGGCUUAACCUUGGAACUGCGUCGGAUACUGGAUGGCUUGAAUUCGGGAGAGGGAUGCAGAAUUCCAGGUGUAGCGGUGAAAUGCGUAGAUAUCUGGAGGAAUACCAAUUGCGAAGGCAGCUCGCUGGGACGUUACUGACGCUGAGACGCGAAAGCGUGGGGAGCAAACAGG